RNAcentral lists this unclassified non-coding RNA (240 nucleotides) under soil metagenome. RNAcentral describes it as "partial contains 5.8S ribosomal RNA, internal transcribed spacer 2, and large subunit ribosomal RNA". The record is from RNAcentral.
AACUGAUACUACCUGCGGGAACCUGCGGAAGGAUCAUUAAUGAAAUCAUAUUCUCCUUUGGAGUUUCUUCUAGCUGAUGCGUCUUUUGGCUGCACGCUGUUGUCACUCUUUAGGGGUUAUAUUUCCACAAACCCUUCUGUGCAUAUUGGGAGGCUUUAUUGUCCUCUCCUAAUUCAUAUACUCUAAUGUUUAAUCAUGUCAUACAAUGUUAAAUACAUUAAACAACUUUCAGCAAUGGAU